Long non-coding RNA from Chiloscyllium plagiosum (whitespotted bambooshark), 1868 nucleotides. RefSeq lists it as uncharacterized. Lineage: Eukaryota; Metazoa; Chordata; Chondrichthyes; Orectolobiformes; Hemiscylliidae. The record is from RefSeq and is a predicted model, not a curated record.
GAUGGAGAUGAAGUCCAGAGACAGAAUAAAAUAAUUGAGCAGACAAAAGAAUGGGUAAAGGUCAGCUUGGGAGAAUCAAUGGCUUUUAAUUCAGGCCCUAAAAUUAUUGAACUCAAUAUCAAGUCUGGAAGGCUGCAGCAUCCCCAAGUUGAAAAUGAGAUGGUGUUCUUCCAGCUUACGCUAAGCUUCGCUGGAGUACAGCAGCAAGCCUGAGGCAGAGAUGUUGGCCAAGGUGUGUUGAAGUGGCAGGUGACAGGAAGAAAAACUAUACAAAUCUGCAAAAACUAAUGGUUGGUCAAAGGCUUGAAUAUACUUUAAGAACCAGCAAAAAAUGACUAAAAAGGUAAUAGAUACAGAUAAUAGAGAGAACGCUGGCUAGUAAUAUGAAGACAAUUCCACACACAAAUGACCCUCAAAAUAUUUUUCCUCCAUUUUAAGAGCAAGCUGUAUUGUUCCUAAAUUGCCCUCUAUUUCUGGAAUACUCGACAAGGAAAAACAUCCAUCGAUAGUAUCUACAUAUCUUGUCCAUUCAGUAUCUUGUAUAUUACAGUAAGAUCACCUAUCUUCUAAAUUCCAAUGAGUACAUGCUCAAUUUUUUCAAUCUUUCAUAAGGUAAGCCAAGUCCCGGAAAAUGGAAUGAGAAUACAUAGGUGCUUGAGGAUGCAUGUGAAAAUGAUGGAUCGAAGGACCUCUAUCUGCUAUACCCCAAGCAGUUUGACCGUUUGCAGGAGGUGUCUCCAGCUGGAGCAGCCUAAUCUUUGGUUCGAUCAUGAUCAGUAGCUGGGGUCAUUACGAUGUAUUCACGAGGCUGAGCGAUUCAUGAAUAUCACAUUCCAGGAUUUCGUCACUCUACACAUUAAGGUGGUGCUGGCACAGAGGUAACUGGCACUGCCAGGCAAAGGGAACCUGACAGCAGGUUGCAAGUCUGGCUUUGCUGUUCCAGUUCAUGCGUAUUCUCACCUGAAGGUUACAUUGCUAUGAGUGUGGAGUCGCAUGUACCUCAAACCAGAUACUGCCAGAACUCCUGUUUCACCAGCAAUUUCCAUUUUGUUGUUGAGUCUUAAAACUUAAGUUUUCCUUCAACUAACACGUGUUUCACCAUAUUAAGAGGGACAUUGGGAUCAUAAACUAGUGUACAAAACCAAAAGUGCAUAUCUACUGUUUGGAGUUGCUGCUUCAUAUUUCCUUUCUUGGGCUCUGCAUGUUUCAGUGAGCAUAGCUGGUUUGGUUGGUCACAGAUGCCAUGAAUGCUUGGUAGAAGGUGCCCCACUGGAACAGACAUUGGACGAAAGGAAAUCUGCACUUAAGGCCCAGUCAAAGCUUUUUUCCAAACUUAUCGCACAAGGAAUAGCAAACUUUUUUCCUUCUGUGAAAUAGAUGGCACAACUCAUCCUUCUCAACAGGCUAACUGGUUGCCAUUACUGGAAGUUGAAUUUACGCACCAGAUCAUUUUGAAGUAUAAAUGAAGUAGUAUUCCAGAAUUACUGAUAGAAUACACACAAUGAAGCUCAAGUACUUUCAAUAACUACGGGGUAGUUCUGGGAUAAUGUGUGUUCCAGCAGGACAAUUUGGCUAUAACAUCGCUGAAGGAUUAGGGAAUGGUAUUUUCUGGGGCGCUGACCUCUGUUGACAACAGCACGAUUUCAGUGGGGAUAGGUUUACAUGCUUCGUUCUGCAUGUGCUGAACUCUCUGUGCCAUUCUGUGCUUGUGACAUCAGUGCUGGUCUUCGUGCAUAUACGCGGUGUCGGCGCCCAUCUUCAUGUCAUUCUGCGCAUGCGCCAAUGUCAGCUGCCGACAGAGCAGCUUUCUGUGAGAGGUAUUGUACAGAGAGCAGUUUUCUUGCAUUUUUAAAAUGUACUGUGUUAAA